CAAAACUGGUGGUGGCACUUCCCGAUACAGCGGGUGUUGUGAUCGUGCGCGUCUAAAUAACGCAAAGAUUUAUCCAAAAGCCCGCAUCAUUGCGGGCUUUUUUGU
Regulatory RNA element from Idiomarina xiamenensis 10-D-4, 105 nucleotides. It matches the Rfam family "Tryptophan operon leader". From Rfam's summary of the family: At least 6 amino acid operons are known to be regulated by attenuation. The record is from Rfam. NCBI's taxonomy places the organism in Bacteria, Pseudomonadati, Pseudomonadota, Gammaproteobacteria, Alteromonadales, Idiomarinaceae.